This 586-nucleotide ribosomal RNA is filed under the name uncultured bacterium. Its description in RNAcentral is "partial 16S ribosomal RNA". It matches the Rfam family "Bacterial small subunit ribosomal RNA", at positions 355 to 1375 of the family's 1533-position model. The record is from RNAcentral.
UGGGGAAUUUUGGACAAUGGGCGAAAGCCUGAUCCAGCAAUGCCGCGUGUGUGAAGAAGGCCUUCGGGUUGUAAAGCACUUUUGUCCGGAAAGAAAUCCUUGGCUCUAAUACAGUCGGGGGAUGACGGUACCGGAAGAAUAAGCACCGGCUAACUACGUGCCAGCAGCCGCGGUAAUACGUAGGGUGCAAGCGUUAAUCGGAAUUACUGGGCGUAAAGCGUGCGCAGGCGGUUUGCUAAGACCGAUGUGAAAUCCCCGGGCUCAACCUGGGAACUGCAUUGGUGACUGGCAGGCUAGAGUAUGGCAGAGGGGGGUAGAAUUCCACGUGUAGCAGUGAAAUGCGUAGAGAUGUGGAGGAAUACCGAUGGCGAAGGCAGCCCCCUGGGCCAAUACUGACGCUCAUGCACGAAAGCGUGGGGAGCAAACAGGAUUAGAUACCCUGGUAGUCCACGCCCUAAACGAUGUCAACUAGUUGUUGGGGACUUCAUUUCCUUAGUAACGUAGCUAACGCGUGAAGUUGACCGCCUGGGGAGUACGGUCGCAAGAUUAAAACUUAAAUGAAUUGACGGGGUCAUAGCUGUUUCCU